GACGAACGCUGGCGGCGUGCUUAACACAUGCAAGUCGAGCGGAAAGGCCCUUCUGGGUACUCGAGCGGCGAACGGGUGAGUGACACAUGAGUAAGUUGCCCCAGACUUUGGGAUAACUAACGGAAAGGGGGGCUAGUACCGAAUACGACACAGCUUCGCAUGGGGGGUGGGGGGAAGGUAUUUUGGGCGGUUGGGGAUGGGCGGCCGGCCUAUCUGCUGGUGGGGGGGGUGCUGGCCUACGAAGGCGAGGACGGCUGGCCGGCCUGAGAGGGCGACCGGCCACACUGGGACGGGGAAACGGCCCAGCCUCCUACGGGAGGCAGCGGGGGGGAAUAUUGCACAAGGGUCGGAAGCCGGAGGCAGCGAGGCCGCGUGGGGGAUGCCGGCCUUCGGGUGGUAACCCUCUUUCAGCAGGGACGAAGCGUAAGUGACGGUACCUGCAGAAGAAGCGCCGGCCAACUACGUG
This 466-nucleotide ribosomal RNA is filed under the name uncultured bacterium. Its description in RNAcentral is "partial 16S ribosomal RNA". It matches the Rfam family "Bacterial small subunit ribosomal RNA", at positions 28 to 507 of the family's 1533-position model. The record is from RNAcentral.